RNAcentral lists this long non-coding RNA (1270 nucleotides) under Mus musculus (house mouse). Its description in RNAcentral is "RIKEN cDNA 4930523O13 gene". The record is from RNAcentral. Lineage: Eukaryota; Metazoa; Chordata; Mammalia; Rodentia; Muridae.
GGAAUGCUGACAAGCAGCUCAGGAGAGAUGAAAUGCAGCCCAAAAUCGAGGUCCAAGCCCAUGUUACUCAUGGUGUUUCUCAGGGUGUUUCUCAGGUGAAAUGGCAGGAGCUGGGAGGGAGGUCUGGUUCUCAAACUCCUGGGCACCUAGAAGCUGCUUAGAACCAUGAAGAGCUGAGAAAGGGGCAUGAGGACCUGUGAUGUUUCCUGGGUCAGGGGAAAUCUGGCUGAGCUCAGGAUGUAAAGUAACUUUAUGGUCUUAGACAUGAAGAAUUUGGAGAAUUCCAGUGAACAGCAUCUAUUAUAAAACUCUUAUUCUCUGAGGAAAGGUAUUAUCUUUCUCAAAAAAGGCAGUAACAUCUUUCUCAAGGUCUUAAGGACCUGAAGAUUAAUUAAUUUCCAGAGAAAACAGGUACUAAUACGGUGCCUCUCCCGUCUUUCCCAUGUCCGUGGUUAUGGAAGCGGCAGGCAAACUGAUGUUGAAACUCUAGAUAAAUAUCUACAAUGGAACAUUUAUUGAUAUCUGUAUUUAGAUAUUUUGUGUCAAAUGUCCUGGAUGUCAAUUUGUCAUCAGAAGAUUAUUGAUUUGCAUUUGAAACUGGAGAUGAAGAUUUCUGAUGGAGUGGAAAUGAAAAAUUAUGGCAAUGAUUCCCCAACUCAUCCUAAUAAUUGCCUAUGAGUCUCCACCAGUUUCUUGAUGAAGCUCUCUGAUGAUAAUUGGACUAGACUCUAAUAUAUAGUAAAGCACAAUAUCGUCUCUGUGGCAUCUAGACACUGUUUCCUGGAAGCAGACAUCAGCUGUAGGCUUCCACUCAUGGCAUGGACCUCAAGUUGUACCAAUUAUUCAUUUGGCCACACCAUCAUCAAUUGCAGACAGAAAAAAAUUAUAAGGAUGAGCAAAUCACUGAAUCUUCUUCAGAGAACAUCAAUAUGUAUUUAUGUCCCUGCUGAUUCACCAGAAUAUUGGAGGGAGGGACAGAUAAGAUCUACUGAUCAGAAAUUUUGGGAAUCUGAUAUGAAAUACGUAAGAACAAAGCACAAUGUUUUUAUUUCAUGAAAAGCUCAAAUCAUUAUACUAUCACAUGUUAGCAUCUUAACACAGCACUGAAUCCAUACUGGGAUCAAAGUUGGUACCAUGGGAAUAGUUAUUUAAUAGAAAGCAGAAUAUUUGUGACAACUGCCAUUCCUAUUCAACAAAUUGGCAAGCAAUGCAUCAAAAUCAUGUAAACUCAGUAAAAAAAAGCUGAAUAAAAUACAGAAUGGCCAAAAAU